RNAcentral lists this ribosomal RNA (156 nucleotides) under uncultured Propionibacterium sp. Its description in RNAcentral is "partial 16S ribosomal RNA". It matches the Rfam family "Bacterial small subunit ribosomal RNA", at positions 338 to 506 of the family's 1533-position model. Lineage: Bacteria; Bacillati; Actinomycetota; Actinomycetes; Propionibacteriales; Propionibacteriaceae. The record is from RNAcentral.
CCUACGGGAGGCAGCAGUGGGGAAUAUUGCACAAUGGGCGGAAGCCUGAUGCAGCAACGCCGCGUGCGGGAUGACGGCCUUCGGGUUGUAAACCGCUUUCGCCUGUGACGAAGCGUGAGUGACGGUAAUGGGUAAAGAAGCACCGGCUAACUACGU